AGUCGAGCGAACUGACGAGGAGCUUGCUCCUUUGACGUUAGCGGCGGACGGGUGAGUAACACGUGGGUAACCUACCUAUAAGACUGGAAUAACUCCGGGAAACCGGGGCUAAUGCCGGAUAACAUGUUGAACCGCAUGGUUCAACAUUGAAAGGCGGUUUUGCUGUCACUUAUAGAUGGACCUGCGCCGUAUUAGCUAGUUGGUAAGGUAAUGGCUUACCAAGGCGACGAUACGUAGCCGACCUGAGAGGGUGAUCGGCCACACUGGAACUGAGACACGGUCCAGACUCCUACGGGAGGCAGCAGUAGGGAAUCUUCCGCAAUGGACGAAAGUCUGACGGAGCAACGCCGCGUGAGUGAUGAAGGUUUUCGGAUCGUAAAGCUCUGUUAUUAGGGAAGAACAAGUGCGUAGGUAACUAUGCGCACCUUGACGGUACCUAAUCAGAAAGCCACGGCUAACUACGUGCCAGCAGCCGCGGUAAUACGUAGGUGGCAAGCGUUAUCCGGAAUUAUUGGGCGUAAAGCGCGCGUAGGCGGUUUCUUAAGUCUGAUGUGAAAGCCCACGGCUCAACCGUGGAUGGUCAUUGGAAACUGGGGAACUUGAGUGCAGAAGAGGAAAGUGGAAUUCCAUGUGUAGCGGUGAAAUGCGCAGAGAUAUGGAGGAACACCAGUGGCGAAGGCGACUUUCUGGUCUGUAACUGACGCUGAUGUGCGAAAGCGUGGGGAUCAAACAGGAUUAGAUACCCUGGUAGUCCACGCCGUAAACGAUGAGUGCUAAGUGUUAGGGGGUUUCCGCCCCUUAGUGCUGCAGCUAACGCAUUAAGCACUCCGCCUGGGGAGUACGAUCGCAAGAUUGAAACUCAAAGGAAUUGACGGGGACUCGCACAAGCGGUGGAGCAUGUGGUUUAAUUCGAAGCAACGCGAAGAACCUUACCAAAUCUUGACAUCCUUUGAUCGCUCUAGAGAUAGAGUUUUCCCCUUCGGGGGA
Molecule: ribosomal RNA, 987 nt
Filed under: Staphylococcus massiliensis
Lineage: Bacteria; Bacillati; Bacillota; Bacilli; Caryophanales; Staphylococcaceae
Description: bacterial SSU rRNA
Rfam family: Bacterial small subunit ribosomal RNA
Source: RNAcentral